This 433-nucleotide ribosomal RNA is filed under the name uncultured bacterium. RNAcentral's name for it is "partial 16S ribosomal RNA". It matches the Rfam family "Bacterial small subunit ribosomal RNA", at positions 29 to 507 of the family's 1533-position model. The record is from RNAcentral.
AACGAACGCUGGCGGCAUGCCUAACACAUGCAAGUCGAACGAGACCUUCGGGUCUAGUGGCGCACGGGUGCGUAACGCGUGGGAACCUGCCCUUAGGUUCGGAAUAACUCCCCGAAAGGGGUGCUAAUACCGGAUAAUGUCUUCGGACCAAAGAUUUAUCGCCGUUGGAUGGGCCCGCGUUGGAUUAGCUAGUUGGUAGGGUAAAAGCCUACCAAGGCGACGAUCCAUAGCUGGUCUGAGAGGAUGAUCAGCCACACUGGGACUGAGACACGGCCCAGACUCCUACGGGAGGCAGCAGUAGGGAAUAUUGGACAAUGGGCGAAAGCCUGAUCCAGCAAUGCCGCGUGAGUGAUGAAGGCCUUAGGGUUGUAAAGCUCUUUUACCCGGGAUGAUAAUGACAGUACCGGGAGAAUAAGCUCCGGCUAACUCCGUG